GCUUGGCGGGCUCAGUCAGUAGAGUAUGGGACUCUUGAUCUCAGGGUCGUGAGUUCAAGCCCCAUGUUGGGCG
RNAcentral lists this transfer RNA (73 nucleotides) under Ailuropoda melanoleuca (giant panda). It matches the Rfam family "tRNA". From Rfam's summary of the family: Transfer RNA (tRNA) molecules are approximately 80 nucleotides in length. Their secondary structure includes four short double-helical elements and three loops (D, anti-codon, and T loops). Further hydrogen bonds mediate the characteristic L-shaped molecular structure. tRNAs have two regions of fundamental functional importance: the anti-codon, which is responsible for specific mRNA codon recognition, and the 3' end, to which the tRNAs corresponding amino acid is attached (by aminoacyl-tRNA synthetases). tRNAs cope with the degeneracy of the genetic code in two manners: having more than one tRNA (with a specific anti-codon) for a particular amino acid; and 'wobble' base-pairing, i.e. permitting non-standard base-pairing at the 3rd anti-codon position. Lineage: Eukaryota; Metazoa; Chordata; Mammalia; Carnivora; Ursidae. The record is from Rfam by way of RNAcentral.